RNAcentral lists this small RNA (100 nucleotides) under Helianthus annuus (common sunflower). RNAcentral's name for it is "hypothetical non coding rna". The stretch from base 29 to 99 matches the Rfam family "tRNA". Rfam says of the family: Transfer RNA (tRNA) molecules are approximately 80 nucleotides in length. Their secondary structure includes four short double-helical elements and three loops (D, anti-codon, and T loops). The record is from RNAcentral. Lineage: Eukaryota; Viridiplantae; Streptophyta; Magnoliopsida; Asterales; Asteraceae.
CGAGAGUCAGCUUCCUUAAGUUCGUUGUUCUUCAGUAGCUCAGUGGUAGAAUGAUCGGUUGUAACUGACUGGUUGUAGGUUCAAAUCCUACUUGGGGAGA